RNAcentral lists this ribosomal RNA (496 nucleotides) under uncultured bacterium. Its description in RNAcentral is "partial 16S ribosomal RNA". It matches the Rfam family "Bacterial small subunit ribosomal RNA", at positions 29 to 507 of the family's 1533-position model. The record is from RNAcentral.
ACGCACGCUGGCGGCGUGCCUAAUACAUGCAAGUAGAACGCUGAAGCUUGGUGCUUGCACCGAGCGGAUGAGUUGCGAACGGGUGAGUAACGCGUAGGUAACCUGCCUGGUAGCGGGGGAUAACUAUUGGAAACGAUAGCUAAUACCGCAUAAGAGUAGAUGUUGCAUGACAUUUGCUUAAAAGGUGCAAUUGCAUCACUACCAGAUGGACCUGCGUUGUAUUAGCUAGUUGGUGAGGUAACGGCUCACCAAGGCAACGAUACAUAGCCGACCUGAGAGGGUGAUCGGCCACACUGGGACUGAGACACGGCCCAGACUCCUACGGGAGGCAGCAGUAGGGAAUCUUCGGCAAUGGACGGAAGUCUGACCGAGCAACGCCGCGUGAGUGAAGAAGGUUUUCGGAUCGUAAAGCUCUGUUGUAAGAGAAGAACGAGUGUGAGAGUGGAAAGUUCACACUGUGACGGUAUCUUACCAGAAAGGGACGGCUAACUACGUG